Molecule: ribosomal RNA, 371 nt
Filed under: uncultured eukaryote
Lineage: Eukaryota
Description: SSU rRNA
Rfam family: Eukaryotic small subunit ribosomal RNA
Source: RNAcentral
AGCUCCAAUAGCGUAUAUUAAAGUUGUUGCGGUUAAAAAGCUCGUAGUUGGAUUUCUGCCUUGGACAACCGGUCCACACUCUUGUGUGAGUAUCUGGCUUGGCCUGGGCAUCUUCUUGGAGAACGUUGAAGCUUAGUUGCUUCAGCGGUGAUUCAGGACUUUUACUUUGAGGAAAUUAGAGUGUUCGCAGCAGGCUUUCGCCGUGAAUACAUUAGCAUGGAAUAAUAAUAUAGAUCUUUGGUCUUUGUUUGUUGGUUCUUAAGCCGAAGAGAUGAUGAAUAGGAUCAGCUGGGGGGCAUCCGUAUUAACGCGUCAGAGGUGGAAUUCUUGGAUUGCGUUACGACGAACUACUGCGAAAGCAUUUGCCAAGG